UUCGGGUGAGUAAAGUGGCGGACGGGCGAGUAACACGUAAUCAAGCUGCCCGCGAGACGGGGAUAACCUUGGGAAACCGAGGCUAAUACCCGAUGGCCUGACCGGUUCGCAUGGACUGGUUAGUAAAUGGAUGGGAUCCUUCGGGACCAUCUGCUUGCGGAGGUGAUUGCGCCCCAUCAGCUUGUUGGUAGGGUAGCAGCCUACCAAGGCAAUGACGGGUAGCCGGCCUUAGAGGGUGGUCGGCCGCACUGGGACUGGGACACUGCCCAGACUCCUACGGGAGGUUGCAGUCGAGAAUCUUCCGCAAUGGACGAAAGUCUGGCGGAGCGACGCCGCGUGGAGGAUGAAGGCCUUCGGGUUGUAAACUCCUGUCACGAGUUAAGAACGAGCUGCGGUGAAUAGCCGUAGUUUUUGACGUAAGCUCGAGAGGAAGCACUGACUAACUCUGUGCCAGCAGCCGCGGUAAUACAGAGAGUGCAAACGUUGUUCGGAAUCACCGGGCUUAAAGCGCGCGUAGGCGGCAUUGUUAGUGUCGGGUGAAAGCCCACGGCUCACCCGUGGAACUGCCCGGCAAACUGCAGUGCUAGAGUGUGGUAGGGGAGAGCGGAACUCAUGAUGGAGCGGUGAAAUGCGUAGAUAUCAUGAGGGACACCGGUGGCGAAGGCGGCUCUCUGGUCCACAACUGACGUUGAGGUGCGAAAGCUAGGGUAGCGAACGGGAUUAGAUACCCCGGUAGUCCUAGCCGUAAACGAUGGGUACUAGCUUGGGGUCUCCCUGUGUGAUCCCAGGUGAAGCAAAAGUAAUAAGUACCCCGCCUGGGGAGUAUGGUCGCAAGGCAAGG
RNAcentral lists this ribosomal RNA (841 nucleotides) under uncultured Planctomycetota bacterium. RNAcentral's name for it is "bacterial SSU rRNA". It matches the Rfam family "Bacterial small subunit ribosomal RNA", at positions 81 to 898 of the family's 1533-position model. The record is from RNAcentral. Lineage: Bacteria; Pseudomonadati; Planctomycetota.